AGCGAACGCUGGCGGCAGGCCUAACACAUGCAAGUCGAACGAACCUUUCGGGGUUAGUGGCGGACGGGUGAGUAACACGUGGGAACGUGCCUUUAGGUUCGGAAUAACUCAGGGAAACUUGUGCUAAUACCGAAUGUGCCCUUCGGGGGAAAGAUUAAUCGCCUUUAGAGGGGCCCGCUUCUGAUUAGCUAGUUGGUUGAGGUAAUGGCUCACCAAGGCGACGAUCAGUAGCUGGUCUGAGAGGAUGGUCAGCCACAUUGGGACUGAGACACGGCCCAAACUCCUACGGGAGGCAGCAGUGGGGAAUCUUGCGCAAUGGGCGAAAGCCUGACGCAGCCAUGCCGGGUGAAUGAUGAAGGUCUUAGGAUAGUAAAAUUCUUUCACCGGGGACGAUAAUGACGGUACCCGAAGAAGAAGCCCCGGCUAACUUCGUG
Molecule: ribosomal RNA, 434 nt
Filed under: uncultured bacterium
Lineage: Bacteria
Description: partial 16S ribosomal RNA
Rfam family: Bacterial small subunit ribosomal RNA
Source: RNAcentral